GGUCGGGCUCCGCACGGUGGAUGCUUGUGAACCCCGUCAGGUCCGGAAGGAAGCAGCGGCAGCAGGUUAUGUGCGCGUUGCGGUUCUGUCUGGCUCGG
RNAcentral lists this signal recognition particle RNA (98 nucleotides) under Mariprofundaceae bacterium. RNAcentral describes it as "signal recognition particle sRNA small type". It matches the Rfam family "Bacterial small signal recognition particle RNA". Rfam says of the family: The signal recognition particle (SRP) is a universally conserved ribonucleoprotein involved in the co-translational targeting of proteins to membranes. Archaeal SRP consists of a 7S RNA and homologues of the eukaryotic SRP19 and SRP54 proteins. In most bacteria, the SRP consists of a 4.5S RNA and the Ffh protein (a homologue of the eukaryotic SRP54 protein). Lineage: Bacteria; Pseudomonadati; Pseudomonadota; Candidatius Mariprofundia; Mariprofundales; Mariprofundaceae. The record is from RNAcentral.